Molecule: long non-coding RNA, 338 nt
Organism: Seriola aureovittata
Lineage: Eukaryota; Metazoa; Chordata; Actinopteri; Carangiformes; Carangidae
Exons: 4
Source: RefSeq, a predicted model, not a curated record
ACAGAGACGCUCCGCAACUCUAAACAGUUUCCAUGCAGCGAGUCAGAAGUCGACGACAAAACACAAGUCUGCUCGUCUCCAGAGAUAAAAACAGGAAGGAAGGGGGCGAAGCUUGGAUGGGCUGAGGACUCGCAGAGGAGUCCACCAGAUGCAUAAACGCUCAAUGUCUGUGAGGUGGCCCAGGCCCGGGCCAAGUCUCUCUGAGGGGAGGGGAGGCCGAAGGUAAAGACUGAGCGAGGCCAUGGAUGCAGCAGCACGUCUCCACAAUUCAAGGACCGAGUGAGGAAUGACCCGAUGCCACGGAGCGGGAAGACAUUCGGUGGUAAAAAUAAGAAAAC